CUCGGGCUGUGCAGCAGCUGUGAACUUCCUCUUGCGAGGCUGCAAGACCCAGCAAAGUCAAUAGAGACUCCAAAGCGCCCAGCGGGAGCCCGCGGAUCGACCGCAGCAUGCGCAGGGCAGAGCCCAGCAAAAGCUGAAGCACAUGAUAAGGUGACAGUUUUCCAUGCGACAGCAUGCCUGUGGACUACCUGGCGACCACUGCAGUGUUUCCCAAAGGGUUGCAUGCUUUCUAGCUGCUCAGUUUGAUGCCAGGUGCACCACAGUGUCCACCUCCUCUGCAGAGUGGGAAGUCGCUGCGCUGCCAAGGCAAAUGUCAGGAGGUCUUGUCCUGCUGGGCUUCUCCUCAGAGGACUUUCCAAGAGUUUCACCUACAUGAAGAGCAGGAGGCUGUGGAGCAAAUAAGAGAAGAGCCACUGUUCCCCCCGGGUACCUGCAGAGGAGCCGAUCUGCCUGCAGGUCCAUUGACUCCCGGAUGUGAGCUGCACGGCAUCAGUGCCUCUGGACGCUUGACACUUCUUCAUACGGAGGUGAGUGAUGAGCCACAACACUGGCAGCAGGAAACAGGACAAGCUUUAGGUCUUCUCCAGGAUCAAGCACCUUCAUAUCUGUUCCCUGGGUUCUCAUGGGUGCAGAGAAGGGAUUUCUCCUUGUACUGAGCCAAAUUUCAUUCACCCAGCUUUCCUGGCUGUUUCCUCUUCACUCUGUGGAAGUCCUGCAUAAAGAGGUGUGGGUUAAACCUGACACGUUGUCAGGAAUGCUUCACGUUCCAAAUUUAUGGAGCUGAACGGGGGAGCAAAUGGCCAACAUGCUGUUCGGGAAAGUGUUUGUGACAGGGAGCUGAGGAAGAUUUGAAAGAAAUAUUCUCCAAAGAUAGCCAAAACACCCAGAGACUUGCUCUGAGUUAUGCUUCAGCCUACCAGUUAAUAUGCUUGUGCUGCCCGCUCGUUAAUUGGUAGGGAAGGGGGAGGAAGAAUCCAGACUUGGCAAGCUGGUGCUGCAGACAGAUUUUGUCAGAUGAAAUCCUAAUAGACAUUAGUCCAACAUCAACAGCUCCUGAGCUGUCAUAUGGGAAUAUGCAAGAAAAAGAUAAAACCAACAACCUAAAGGAUGGAUCCUCUAUUUUAAGGGGCAGAGAAGGGAACCUGACUAAUGGAAUUUUUUCUUUUAUUUGUAGAGUUGUGCAGAGAAACAAUGGAAAAUGUUGGUUCCAGCGGAUACAGUUCUGUCUUUUCUUGAAUUCUGAACCUCAUUUAGUUCAGAGUUGCUUAACAUCUCUCUCUCUUGCCUUUACUUACUUGUGAACAGGGGUUUAUCUUAUCUGCCAAAGCCUCAGAGGAGUUGUGAGGGCAGAAUUUGGAAA
Molecule: long non-coding RNA, 1360 nt
Filed under: Struthio camelus australis
Lineage: Eukaryota; Metazoa; Chordata; Aves; Struthioniformes; Struthionidae
Description: lncRNA (ENSSCUG00000009844.1)
Source: RNAcentral